This 1387-nucleotide non-coding RNA is filed under the name Toxocara canis (dog roundworm). Its description in RNAcentral is "Eukaryotic small subunit ribosomal RNA". It matches the Rfam family "Eukaryotic small subunit ribosomal RNA", at positions 445 to 1831 of the family's 1831-position model. Lineage: Eukaryota; Metazoa; Nematoda; Chromadorea; Rhabditida; Toxocaridae. The record is from Rfam by way of RNAcentral.
CGUCUUUUAAAGAAGAACACAUUGCCUCGCAUCAAAAAGGAUGCCAUGUAAAAUAAUCUAGCAUAAACAAUUAUGGCGUACAAAUCAAAGUGAGGAGGUAGUGACGAAAAAUAACGAGACCGUUCUCUACGAGGCCGGUUAUCGGAAUGGGUACAAUUUAAACCCGUUAACGAGGAUCUAUGAGAGGGCAAGUCUGGUGCCAGCAGCCGCGGUAAUUCCAGCUCUCAAAGUAUAUAUCGUCGUUGCUGCGGUUAAAAAGCUCGUAGUUGGAUCUGCGCCUCAGGACUUGGUCCGCCCACUGGGCGAUUGUUGUUGCUAGUGAACAUGCUCGAGUCGACGAAGUAUGUACAAAUCUUAGCGGUGGAUCACUCGGUUCGUGGAUCGAUGAAGAACGCAGCUAGCUGCGAUAAAUAGUGCGAAUUGCAGACACAUUGAGCACUAAAAUUUCGAACGCACAUUGCGCCAUCGGGUUCAUUCCCGUUGGCACGUCUGGCUGAGGGUCACAAUAUUAUGGAGUAGGAUCGGCGCGCCUAUUUAUGGAAUGUGCUUAACGCGCAACGUUCUGGUGCAUUCUCUCGCAAGGUGCAUUCGGUGAGCUAUGGUGGUGUGGUAAUGGAUAUUGUGGAAUUAUACCGCGUACCUUGCCAAGCCAAUAUACGCACAAGAAAUCGCUGUCGUUUGCUCGUAAAGAGGCGAAAUUGGCCAUCGGUGUAUGUUGUGUUGCUUGACGAUACGGCCUCCAGCAAACGUUGUUUAUUGCUUGGUGGCAGCAGCGUUCAGGUUGGAGGUGACGUUAUCGGUCGCUUGAAGGAGGAAUGCAUGGCGAAUGGUUGAAAUGAGGUUUUUUUUUACCUCAGCUCAGUCGUGACCACCCGCUGAAUUUAAGCAUAUAACUAAGCGGAGGAAAAGAAACUAACGAGGAUUCCUCUAGUAACGGCGAGUGAACGGGGAAAAGCCUAGCGCUGGAUUCACUGGCCACUGGUCGCUUGGAACUGUAGCGUAUAGGUGCGGUUUUCCGUUUGUUUCGCGCACCCAAAGUCCCCUUGAGUGGACACUGGAGGAAUCAGCGUGCUGUAACCAUUGCCGAAAGGUAUUGGUAACCCGUUGAAAAUCCUCCGUGAUCGGGAUCGGGAAUUGCAAUUAUUUCCCUUGAACGAGGAAUUCCUAGUAAGUGUGAGUCAUCAGCUCACGUUGAUUACGUCCCUGCCCUUUGUACACACCGCCCGUCGCUGCCCGGGACUGAGCCGUUUCGAGAAAAGCGGGGACUGCUGUUUCGAGACCUUCCGAGGUGGAGAUUCUUUGGUGGAAACCGCCUUAAUCGCAGUGGCUUGAACCGGGCAAAAGUCGUAACAAGGUUUCCGUAGGUGAACCUGCGGAAGGAUCAUUA